Molecule: non-coding RNA, 797 nt
Organism: Pantherophis guttatus
Lineage: Eukaryota; Metazoa; Chordata; Lepidosauria; Squamata; Colubridae
Source: RefSeq, a predicted model, not a curated record
UCUUAUCAAGAGAAAUCAAACAAUACAAUAUUUUAUUGCUCAACAAGAAAUGAUAAAGAUUCAGUUCACACAUCUACUGAGACACAGUAUGGGCCUAUUAUGGGUGAGCUCCGUUAUUUUGACUUUAUAAACCAUUGUCUUAUGAUUUAGUGUCCCAGAAUCAUAGGUGACUCCUAAAAUCCUUGGUUAUAGCCAAGUAACUAUUUAUAAAGUUGCAAUUUUUAAUGGGACAGAUGUGUGAAAGUAUUAAAUAGUUGAUUUUUGAUUGUGUGCCAUCAAGUUGAUAUCAACUCUUAGCAACCAUAUAACACGGCAAUUUAUUCCUAACUCAUUUUUCAAGUCUACCAUUUUUGCACUUAUUACCACUGUAACUGAGUCUAUCCUCCUGCUGUUGAUUGUCCUUUUCUUCUCUUUUCUCUCACCUUUCCCAGCCUUUUCUGGUGAGCUACAUCUUCGCAUCAUGUGCCCAAAAUAGGAUAAGUCAAACCAAGUAUUUGGGCCACAAGAUAAUCUUAAGGUUACCAGAUCUGGAUUGCAAAACUGCUCAGUGCCACUGCAAUUUCCCCUUUGCUGUCAUAUAGAAGCCGUCUGGAUUUUUGCUGCUCAGAUCCUGUGUAGCCCUAGCAACACCAGCUUGCUUCAACGAGACGUUACAAAGCAUCAUAUCUUCUCGCCUCCAUUACAAAUUACUGACUACAACAAUAAUGAAGCCCGUAGGGCCCGGGCGCUGCUUUACAAAGCUGUUGUGACCUAGGCUUACUGAGUAAUUGCAAUACACAAUUAGUCCCAAACAAACC